GGUGAACGCUGGCGGCGUGGAUAAGGCAUGCAAGUCGAAUGAGUUUAUACUCAUGGCAGACGAGGUAGGAACACGUAGGUACAAACCCCAAAGUCACGGAUAACCCGGCGAAAGUCGGAAUAAUACGUGAUAGUCUCUUCGGAGUAAAGAUUUAUCGCUUUGGGCUUGGCCUGCGGGCUAUCAGCUUGUUGGUAAGGUAACGGCUUACCAAGGCUACGACGGCUAGGGGAGGUGAGAGCCUGACCCCCACCGAUGGAACUGCGAUACGGUCCAUACUCCUACGGGAGGCCGCAGUCAAGAAACUUCCGCAAUGGACGAAAGUCUGACGGAGCGACGCCGCGUGGUUGAUGAAGUCCUUAGGGACGUAAAAACCUUUUAUGAGGGAGGAAGUAUAUUGACGUUACCUCAUGAAUAAGGGGCUCCCAAUUCUG
RNAcentral lists this ribosomal RNA (431 nucleotides) under uncultured bacterium. RNAcentral's name for it is "bacterial SSU rRNA". It matches the Rfam family "Bacterial small subunit ribosomal RNA", at positions 28 to 505 of the family's 1533-position model. The record is from RNAcentral.